Molecule: ribosomal RNA, 253 nt
Filed under: uncultured bacterium
Lineage: Bacteria
Description: partial 16S ribosomal RNA
Rfam family: Bacterial small subunit ribosomal RNA
Source: RNAcentral
UACGUAGGGGGCAAGCGUUGUCCGGAAUCAUUGGGCGUAAAGCGCGUGUAGGCGGCUGAGUAAGUCUGCUCUGAAAGCCCGGGGCUCAACCCCGGGAGGCGGGUGGAUACUGCUCAGCUCGAGUCCGGAAGAGGAGUGUGGAAUUCCUGGUGUAGCGGUGAAAUGCGCAGAUAUCAGGAGGAACACCGGUGGCGAAGGCGGGUCUCUGGGCCGUUACUGACGCUGAGGAGCGAAAGCGUGGGGAGCGAACAGG